This is a long non-coding RNA of Entelurus aequoreus (snake pipefish), 1296 nucleotides long. RefSeq lists it as uncharacterized. The transcript is spliced from 5 exons. The record is from RefSeq and is a predicted model, not a curated record. Lineage: Eukaryota; Metazoa; Chordata; Actinopteri; Syngnathiformes; Syngnathidae.
CUUACGUUUUAAAAUGUUCCGACUCUCCAGCUCCUCCACAUUGGGUCUCUGGCUCAGCCUCCUGCGGAGAAACACCAACACCACGUUUUGAACCAUUGUCCACUCUCCCGCUGUCACGGCCCUUUCUUCUCUGCACUUUUGUCACUUGUCCGGAAUAACCGCUUAUGUCUCCAUCUUGCAUCCGAACCCCGGCUGUGAUACUUGGGUAGAGGUGUGCCGAACAUCUGGAAGACUAAGGAAAAUCUGCCUGCUUCUCUUCUUGGAUUAUGUAUGGAUUUCGAGGUGAUCCAUGUCAUGCCAGCGUGUGCUGCAAUCCUCUGUACUUGCUGCACUCUGCUACAUGCGCUUUUCUACUGGGUCGUGAUGGACUGCCGGCGCGCCUCUGCCUCAGUCUCCCUGGUUACUGCAUGCAUAAUGAGCUGUGGGCCGGGCUUGUUUCAAGAGGCAUCCCCGGUACAACCCACUGAGGUGCACUAAGCCAGCAGCACACUCAAACACGCACGACUUUCUCAGCAUGUCAUGUGUCCCCAGCAUCAAAGCCUUCAAAAAGAGCAUGAUCUAGAGGUGCAAAGGACAGACAGCAGAAUGCCACCCUCACUGUGGGACUCCCUUCAUCCUCUGUCCCCACUUUGUACACUUUGUAUUUAUGCAACACAAAGUUACAAUAAACCCGGGAGAUAAUCAAUUCACUCCCAAGGCGGCCCAAAGUGGCCAGCUUGCUGUUGCGCCUGAUGGGGGGAGUGUGGACCCCAGUUACCAAGCAGCCAGCUCUUAGCACUCUCUGCUGGUCCAGUACAUCUACUACAGGGACAGACAAGAUGGGAGAGAAGAACAGGUGUGUGGAAAGAGUGGAUUUGUGUGCCCCUUUUCUCAGUGUGUUCCAUCUGCGCUGUGCUUUUUUGGAGCUUCCUGUACCUCCUCCGAAUCAGCACACGCCAGCAAGCAUGCAGACAAACGUGCAGGUGUGCGCACACAAACAACAGCCGCCGCAACACAUGGUGCAGACACAUGAACGUGCCUAAUCGAGCUAGCGUAUCCACUGGGGGGAGCAGUCUUGAUGCACAUUUGUUGUCGUCAUCUUACUGCUUUGUUUUCGCAAGGAGCUGGAAGAGAGAAAUCAGGGGCCGUACUUAUCAAGCUUCUUAGAAUUACUCCUAAGAAGUCUGCUAAGAGUUGACUUAAGAGUAAAUAAAUUAUUCGCUGAAAGCUGCACUUAAAAGUUAGUUAUCAAGCGUCUUACUCACACUUUCAGCGAAGUGUAGGACUGAAUCUUAAGUGUCACACUCAGAGCUGAAU